UAUCAUUUAUACCAAGCACAUAAUCUUUGCCAACACAUCUACCCUUAGCUGAGGGGAUUACUGCUCAUCCUUUCCAGAGUAAUAGUACCGAAAUACACCAGAGAAAUCCUUUGCCUCAUGACCGUUAUUGCAGAGCUCUGUGAAGAUCUUUUCCGCUUGUGAUGUCAAGGGACACUUGAAUCCAAUAUCUUUUGCUGAUGCUGCAGCAAGGUUCAAAUCUUUAGCCAUCAACUUAGACGCAAAACCUCCAGUAUAAUUCCUUGAAGAAGGCACUCCAUCCAUCACCCCAGGCACUGGAUUAUAUGCAUCACUACUCCAACAGCGAGCACUUGAAGAAUUGAAUAUUUUUGUUAGAGUACUAGCUUCAAUUCCCAAAGACUGACCAAGAGCAAAGGCCUCAGACACCCCCAGCAUACUAAUAGCCAUUGCCAAAUUGUUGCAGAUCUUUGCAGUUGCACCAUUCCCUGAUCCACCACAGUAGAUAGUGUUUUUGCCCAUCGAUAGGAACAAGGGUUUGGAAGCUAAGUAAGCCUCCUCUGGACCACCAACCAUGAAAGUAAGAGUCCCAUCCUCUGCAGCAAGAACACCGCCAGAUACAGGAGCAUCCAACAUAGCAGGAGCCUUCCAG
This 628-nucleotide unclassified non-coding RNA is filed under the name Hevea brasiliensis (rubber tree). Lineage: Eukaryota; Viridiplantae; Streptophyta; Magnoliopsida; Malpighiales; Euphorbiaceae. The record is from RNAcentral.